CCGAAUUGUCAACAUGGGUUGUUGCUGGUCUCCGAACCGGGGGCAUGUGCACACUCUGUUUACACAUCCACCCACACCUGUGCACCCUCUGUAGUUCUAUGGCGUGGGUGACUUUGUCCCCUUGCUGUGGUUCUGCGUCUUUACACACACACUGCCAUAAAGUCUCAUGGAAUGUUUGCCGCGUUUAACGCAAUACAAUA
RNAcentral lists this unclassified non-coding RNA (200 nucleotides) under uncultured Tomentella. Its description in RNAcentral is "sequence contains ITS1". The record is from RNAcentral. Lineage: Eukaryota; Fungi; Basidiomycota; Agaricomycetes; Thelephorales; Thelephoraceae.